This 184-nucleotide small RNA is filed under the name Exophiala sideris. RNAcentral's name for it is "Exophiala sp. SST-2011 A. fumigatus sRNA Afu_182". It matches the Rfam family "A. fumigatus sRNA Afu_182". Lineage: Eukaryota; Fungi; Ascomycota; Eurotiomycetes; Chaetothyriales; Herpotrichiellaceae. The record is from Rfam by way of RNAcentral.
AUAUGAACAACGCAAAAAAUAACGUUCCUGCAAAAGCGUUCCUACGAGGAUACACUACGGUGGCCCAUGAUGUACGGAAAUCGUCUAUUGGAAUGGAGAUCAACCACCUCUGGCCGAUCUUGGGUGCAGUGCCAGUCGAGUCCUUUUUAGGAUAUGACUGGGAGUGCAAUGAUUGACCAAACAC